UUCAUCAGUUACAUGUGCACGCUGGUCCACUAUGACUUCAUCAGACUCUUUUUCAUUUCUUCCCGGCUCACCAGCCGGCGGAGCCUCAGGCGAGGGCCCGAAGAGCGUGCCGAACCAGCCCCAACAGAGGUUCGAGACGAGGGGAAGAGCAGAGCGACAGACAUCGUCCCCACCUUUGCCCCUCUCUCGAAGCGAGGCCUGGGCUUGGCUUCCCAUCUCUGCAUCUCCGCAUUCCGACUUGCCAAGGCCGACUCCAUGUCCGUGGUCGACCCGCUCUUACAUCUCGGACACUUCGAGAAACCCAUUUUAGAAUUCUUCUGUACCCUAAAGAUAUCAAGUCCAUAAGUAAAGAUUUUCUCAAACUGGCAAGUCUGAGAUUGUGGAUGUAGCUGCUAGCUUGACCUGCUCUCUUUUGCUGCUUCUUUCUCGGUAUCUGUCUCACUGGGUAUGGUUCCCUGCAUAAUGACGCUUCUUCCAGCAUUGGAUUUACAGGUUCUUAUUGGGUCCGUAUGCCCAUACACAUCUUCGAGAGACUUCCCUGUUUUACGCAUCUACCAAACACAAUAGACAUGUUACAACUGCAACACGUUGAUAUAAAACAUAUCCGAAACCUCAUUGAGCAGCGUGAGCUGUUUGAUGCCCAAGGAUUGCACGGCAAUGAUGGUGUCAAGGGCAAGAUUGAACCGCCAGUAGACCAGGGAUGACCAAAAGGUAGCUGUGAAGAAAAUAAAAGGAGGAGAGGGGAGUUUUGACGUUGAGGUUAGAUUAAGGGAUUUGCAGGAAGAAGAGGAAGAAGAAGGGAAAGUGAGAGAUGAGAGAGAGAGAUACGGGACCUCUACAGAAAUGAAAAGAGAGUCUGAUGAAAUUAGAGUUGCGCCCAGCAUGCAAACGUGGUAACUGAAGAAUGGACUGCUAUGCAGCACUACUCAAGCACCCAAUAUUUUCCCAGUAAAAUCAUCAAUUCUGAGAUAACCAUGAAAUUGCCUCAGGAAGAGGAAAAUCUCCCAUUUCACUUUUGAUGCUACAGAAGACAGGGCAAGGAACCUCCAGACUGUUGCCAUACCUUCUGAGGAAGCCUCUGGUGUUCCCUUUGGCUCCCUAAGUGAUGAUGUACCUUUAUCUGGACAAAGCAAAGGCGAUUUCAUGAAUCACCCAAGUCCUUGUUUUACAGUUUGGUAAUGGUAAUAAUGAAGGAUUGGCACACAAUGCGCAAGACAAGGCAAAAGGAUGUAGCGUGGGAGCCAAUUGGGGCAGCUUGCACAUUGCUGAGUGAAAGCUGCUCUUUUCUUGAGGUAGCCGGCUUAAAAGCCUCAUCGCACCCUUAUCAAUACGCCAAAAUAUCCACCAGCUUCUUCUGAUAUGUUGUAAGGUUUUGACAAUCAUAAUUUCCAGAAAGAGAGUUUUAUGCAGAGGAUGCAAAGUGUAAGACAAUCUUUUGGAUCUUUAGGACCACGUGACUUUUCAUGAUGUUCAAACAAGGACAUGCCAGAUACUUGAAAUUUAGCAGACAAUUAAGCUGUGCAACCAGGGAUUGAGAAGUUUUUCAAACAAGUGUCCAAGGCCAAAGCUGGAGAAAGCUACAAGAACUUAACUCUGGCCCCUUUGUUUAUGCUAUGCUGGGUAUGUUGGACAAAAACUACACAAACAAACCAGCUGAACAUCUCUGUAUA
Molecule: RNA transcript, 1670 nt
Organism: Eucalyptus grandis
Lineage: Eukaryota; Viridiplantae; Streptophyta; Magnoliopsida; Myrtales; Myrtaceae
Exons: 3
Source: RefSeq, a predicted model, not a curated record